RNAcentral lists this ribosomal RNA (386 nucleotides) under uncultured Prochlorococcus sp. Its description in RNAcentral is "bacterial SSU rRNA". It matches the Rfam family "Bacterial small subunit ribosomal RNA", at positions 128 to 547 of the family's 1533-position model. Lineage: Bacteria; Bacillati; Cyanobacteriota; Cyanophyceae; Synechococcales; Prochlorococcaceae. The record is from RNAcentral.
GCCCUCAGGAGGGGGAUAACGGUUGGAAACGACCGCUAAUACCCCAUAUGCCGAUAGGUGAAACGAAUUUCGCCUGAGGAUGAGCCCGCGUCUGAUUAGCUAGUUGGUAAGGUAAAGGCUUACCAAGGCUUCGAUCAGUAGCUGGUCUGAGAGGAUGAUCAGCCACACUGGGACUGAGACACGGCCCAGACUCCUACGGGAGGCAGCAGUGGGGAAUUUUCCGCAAUGGGCGAAAGCCUGACGGAGCAACGCCGCGUGAGGGACGAAGGCCUCUGGGCUGUAAACCUCUUUUCUCAAGGAAGAAGAUAUGACGGUACUUGAGGAAUAAGCCACGGCUAAUUCCGUGCCAGCAGCCGCGGUAAUACGGGAGUGGCAAGCGUUAUCCG